UAAAUACAUGGUCCCAACAUGAAAGUAAUCACCAGAUAUAUACGCAAAUAAAAAAGUUUAAACGUCCAUAUGUUGAAAACAUUCACCAUCCACUUUAUUUGAAGAAUUUCUCAUUUUGCAGGGAUGGACUGCGUUGGAACAGGGCUGCACCGCAAAAGCAUGGGCUAACUACCGCAUAAAUAAGUCCGUCAAGCUCCGUCAUAUUUUAAUGGCGGACUGACUGGGAAGUUUUUGGAACGGCAAAACCUUAUGGACCAUCCCUUCAACGGAUGGUGGAAGGUGGAUGGAUCUCUGUGGAAAUACGGUAUAACAACACCAUAAGCGCUUUUUCCUUGCCACCCAAGCUGGCAAAUGCCACGAUAACAUUAUGGAUAUCCUGCUGGGCAUGAAAGAGUUCCAUAACCUCACUUAUAAUUAUAAUUUUUUAUUCAAUUUGUUUGGACUUGCGAAAAUUCACCGAGAUUUCUGUAAAGGGGAGACGUAUUCGGGAAAACUUUGGGGUUUGGAGGUUAACGCUCCCCCAGGCAGCAAAUUGUAUUAAGAGUAGAUUAAGCAGUUAUUUAAACGUUCUGAUAAGCUUUAA
Long non-coding RNA from Drosophila elegans, 583 nucleotides. RefSeq lists it as uncharacterized. The transcript has 2 exons. The record is from RefSeq and is a predicted model, not a curated record. Lineage: Eukaryota; Metazoa; Arthropoda; Insecta; Diptera; Drosophilidae.